This 497-nucleotide ribosomal RNA is filed under the name uncultured bacterium. RNAcentral describes it as "partial 16S ribosomal RNA". It matches the Rfam family "Bacterial small subunit ribosomal RNA", at positions 28 to 507 of the family's 1533-position model. The record is from RNAcentral.
GACGAACGCUGGCGGCGUGCCUAAUACAUGCAAGUCGAGCGGACGAAUCGAAAGCUUGCUUUUGAUUCGUUAGCGGCGGACGGGGGAGUAACACGUGGGCAACCUGCCCUGUAGACGGGGAUACACCGAGAAAUCGGUGCUAAUACCGGAUAACACGAAAUGUCGCAUGACGUUUCGUUGAAAGACGGCGCAAGCUGUCGCUACAGGAUGGGCCCGCGGCGCAUUAGCUAGUUGGUGAGGUAACGGCUCACCAAGGCGACGAUGCGUAGCCGACCUGAGAGGGUGAUCGGCCACACUGGGACUGAGACACGGCCCAGACUCCCACGGGAGGCAGCAGUAAGGAAUCUUCCGCAAUGGACGAAAGUCUGACGGAGAAACGCCGCGUGAGCGAAGAAGGCCUUCGGGUCGUAAAGCUCUGUUGUUAGGGAAGAACAAGUAACGCAGUAACUGGCGUUACCGUGACGGUACCUAACGAGAAAGCCACGGCUAACUACGUG